Molecule: long non-coding RNA, 302 nt
Organism: Solea senegalensis (Senegalese sole)
Lineage: Eukaryota; Metazoa; Chordata; Actinopteri; Pleuronectiformes; Soleidae
Exons: 3
Source: RefSeq, a predicted model, not a curated record
GCUGUGAUAGUGACAGAGGCCUCUCCAUCUUCUGCCAUCAGAGCUUGUCCUCCUCGACCGCCCUGUAUGGGAUUGGGAUUUGGGGUUGGAGCUGGGUGAAGAUCUGAAAAUGGAUACAAAAACGGCUGUUUGAGGAUUAAUGGACUUGUGGGCCUCAUGUGAUGAUCAAGAUAUUCACCUGAAUGGUCGGUGCCUGGCUAUAACUGACGACCAAAGGAAAUUCAUCCUGUCACUGGAGAAGAGAGAAGAAAAGAAGAGACCAUUCUUCUUUCCAAUGUAGCCCGACAACUCAAGACUGCAGA